UGCAGUCGAGCGGUAGAGAGAAGCUUGCUUCUCUUGAGAGCGGCGGACGGGUGAGUAAUGCCUAGGAAUCUGCCUGGUAGUGGGGGAUAACGUUCGGAAACGAACGCUAAUACCGCAUACGUCCUACGGGAGAAAGCAGGGGACCUUCGGGCCUUGCGCUAUCAGAUGAGCCUAGGUCGGAUUAGCUAGUUGGUGAGGUAAUGGCUCACCAAGGCGACGAUCCGUAACUGGUCUGAGAGGAUGAUCAGUCACACUGGAACUGAGACACGGUCCAGACUCCUACGGGAGGCAGCAGUGGGGAAUAUUGGACAAUGGGCGAAAGCCUGAUCCAGCCAUGCCGCGUGUGUGAAGAAGGUCUUCGGAUUGUAAAGCACUUUAAGUUGGGAGGAAGGGCCAUUACCUAAUACGUGAUGGUUUUGACGUUACCGACAGAAUAAGCACCGGCUAACUCUGUGCCAGCAGCCGCGGUAAUACAGAGGGUGCAAGCGUUAAUCGGAAUUACUGGGCGUAAAGCGCGCGUAGGUGGUUUGUUAAGUUGGAUGUGAAAGCCCCGGGCUCAACCUGGGAACUGCAUUCAAAACUGACAAGCUAGAGUAUGGUAGAGGGUGGUGGAAUUUCCUGUGUAGCGGUGAAAUGCGUAGAUAUAGGAAGGAACACCAGUGGCGAAGGCGACCACCUGGACUGAUACUGACACUGAGGUGCGAAAGCGUGGGGAGCAAACAGGAUUAGAUACCCUGGUAGUCCACGCCGUAAACGAUGUCAACUAGCCGUUGGGAGCCUUGAGCUCUUAAUGGCGCAGCUAACGCAUUAAGUUGACCGCCUGGGGAGUACGGCCGCAAGGUUAAACUCCAAUGAAUUGACGGGGGCCCGACAAACCGUGGAACAUGUGGUUAAUUCGAACAACCGGAAAAACUUACCAGGCUUGAAUCCAUGAAUUUCCAAAAUGGAUUGGGCCUUCGGAACUUUGAA
RNAcentral lists this ribosomal RNA (969 nucleotides) under Pseudomonas sp. RNAcentral's name for it is "bacterial SSU rRNA". It matches the Rfam family "Bacterial small subunit ribosomal RNA", at positions 56 to 1032 of the family's 1533-position model. The record is from RNAcentral. Lineage: Bacteria; Pseudomonadati; Pseudomonadota; Gammaproteobacteria; Pseudomonadales; Pseudomonadaceae.